UACGUAGGGUGCGAGCGUUGUCCGGAAUUAUUGGGCGUAAAGAGCUUGUAGGCGGUUUGUCGCGUCUGCCGUGAAAAUUCGAGGCUCAACCUCGAACUUGCGGUGGGUACGGGCAGACUAGAGUGUGGUAGGGGAGACUGGAAUUCCUGGUGUAGCGGUGAAAUGCGCAGAUAUCAGGAGGAACACCGGUGGCGAAGGCGGGUCUCUGGGCCGAUACUGACGCUGAGGAGCGAAAGCGUGGGUAGCAAACAGG
RNAcentral lists this ribosomal RNA (253 nucleotides) under uncultured bacterium. RNAcentral's name for it is "partial 16S ribosomal RNA". It matches the Rfam family "Bacterial small subunit ribosomal RNA", at positions 524 to 776 of the family's 1533-position model. The record is from RNAcentral.